CCUACGGGUGGCUGCAGUGGGGGAUAUUGCACAAUGGGGGAAACCCUGAUGCAGCGACGCCGCGUGGGCGAAGAAGUAUUUCGGUAUGUAAAGCCCUAUCAGCAGGGAAGACGAACUGACGGUACCUGAGUACGAAGCACCGGCUAAAUACGCGCCAGCAGCCGCGGUAGUACGUAUGGUUCAAGCGUUAUCCGGAUUUACUGGGUGUAAAGUGAGCGCAGGCGGAACGGCAAGCGUGAUGGGAAAGCCCGCGGCCCAACCGCGGGACUGCUGUGGGAACUACCGGGCUGGAGUGCCGGAGAGGUAGGCGGAAUUCCUAGUGUAGCGGUGAAAUGCGUAGAUAUUAGGAGGAACACCAGUGGCGAAGGCG
RNAcentral lists this ribosomal RNA (370 nucleotides) under uncultured bacterium. Its description in RNAcentral is "partial 16S ribosomal RNA". It matches the Rfam family "Bacterial small subunit ribosomal RNA", at positions 338 to 723 of the family's 1533-position model. The record is from RNAcentral.